RNAcentral lists this ribosomal RNA (908 nucleotides) under Clostridium botulinum. Its description in RNAcentral is "partial 16S ribosomal RNA". It matches the Rfam family "Bacterial small subunit ribosomal RNA", at positions 536 to 1467 of the family's 1533-position model. Lineage: Bacteria; Bacillati; Bacillota; Clostridia; Eubacteriales; Clostridiaceae. The record is from RNAcentral.
AAGCGUGUCCGAAUUACUGGCGUAAGSURCGUMGCGGAUGUUAGUGGAUGUGAAUSCCGKGCUCACCUGKGCUGCAUGCAAACUGAUAUCUAGAGUGCAGAGAGAAGCGAAUCCUAGUGUAGCGGUGAAAUGCGUAGAGAUUAGGAAGAACACCAGUGGCGAAGGCGGCUUCUGGMCUGUAACUGACGCUGAGGCACGAAAGCGUGGGUAGCAAACAGGAUUAGAUACCCUGGUAGUCCACGCCGUAAACGAUGGAUACUAGGUGUAGGGRGGUAUCAACUCYCCSUGUGCCRCAGUUAACACWAUAAGUAUCCCGCSUGGGRGAGUACGGUCGCAAGAUUAAAWCUCAAAGGAAUUGACGGGGGCCCGCACAAGCAGCGGAGCAUGUGGUUUAAUUMGAAGCAACGCGAAGAACCUUACCUGGACUUGACAUCCCUUGCAUAGCCUAGAGAUAGGUGAAGCCCUUCGRSRCAAGGAGACAGGUGGUGCAUGGUUGUCGUCAGCUCGUGUCGUGAGAUGUUAGGUUAAGUCCUGCAACGAGCGCAACCCUUGUUAUUAGUUGCUWCCAUUAAGUUGASCACUYUAAUGAGACUSCSUGGRUAACCAGGAGGAAGGUGGGGAUGACGUCAAAUCAUCAUGCCCCUUAUGUCCAGGGCUACACACGUGCUACAAUGGUAGGUACAAUAAGWCGCAAGACCGUGAGGUGGAGCWAAWCUUAUAAAACCUAUCUCAGUUCGGAUUGYAGGCUGCAACUCGCCUACAUGAAGCUGGAGUUGCUAGUAAUCGCGAAUCAGMAUGUCGCGGUGAAUACGUUCCCGGGCCUUGUACACACCGCCCGUCACACCAUGAGAGYUGGUARCACCCGAAGUCSGUGAGGUAACCSUAAGAGCCAGYGCYGAAUGUUGAWG